RNAcentral lists this transfer RNA (73 nucleotides) under Enterospora canceri. It matches the Rfam family "tRNA". From Rfam's summary of the family: Transfer RNA (tRNA) molecules are approximately 80 nucleotides in length. Lineage: Eukaryota; Fungi; Microsporidia; Enterocytozoonidae. The record is from Rfam by way of RNAcentral.
AACAUGGUGGCGCAGUGGUUAGCGUGCUCGGCUCAUAACCCAGAGGUCCUUGGUUCAAUUCCAAGCCAUGUUA